UGCACGUGCACGAUUACUAGUUAACUAUAAUGUUUGACUCUACGUCUUAUUUAAAAUAAAUUUAUGAUUAACAUUUUUGUUUUUAUUAGAUGAUAGAUCAUGAAUAGUACUUUGCGUGUGACUAAUUUUUUUAUUUUUUUUAAAAAAAUUUAAAUAAGAUGGAUGGUCAAACGCUGUACACGGAAAUCGAAAGAUUGGUUUGUU
This 204-nucleotide microRNA precursor is filed under the name Oryza brachyantha (malo sina). RNAcentral describes it as "MIR812 microRNA precursor family". It matches the Rfam family "MIR812 microRNA precursor family". Lineage: Eukaryota; Viridiplantae; Streptophyta; Magnoliopsida; Poales; Poaceae. The record is from Rfam by way of RNAcentral.